Molecule: long non-coding RNA, 223 nt
Organism: Osmerus eperlanus (European smelt)
Lineage: Eukaryota; Metazoa; Chordata; Actinopteri; Osmeriformes; Osmeridae
Exons: 3
Source: RefSeq, a predicted model, not a curated record
CUACCCCUGGUGGAUCUGUGGAAUGCCUACAAAUUUAAUUGCACCAGGCGCUCUGCUGGACGACUGUAGACCCAAGAGGAGGUCUGCCAGCUAAUCCGGAUUGUGAUGGACAACCGGACCCAGCUGUGGUGGAGAAAACAUCUCCACAUUGACCUCCUGAACCCUGAGGGUUAGGUGGCUGUUUCAACAAUUGAACUGGAGGUCACAGGGGUGCAGGUAGGGC